RNAcentral lists this ribosomal RNA (301 nucleotides) under uncultured bacterium. RNAcentral describes it as "partial 16S ribosomal RNA". It matches the Rfam family "Bacterial small subunit ribosomal RNA", at positions 509 to 809 of the family's 1533-position model. The record is from RNAcentral.
CAGUAGCCACGGGAAUACGGAGGGAGCUAGCGUUGUUCGGAAUUACUGGGCGUAAAGCGCACGUAGGCGGUUAUUCAAGUCAGAGGUGAAAGCCCAGUGCUCAACACUGGAACUGCCUUUGAAACUAGAUAACUUGAAUCCAGGAGAGGUGAGUGGAAUUCCGAGUGUAGAGGUGAAAUUCGUAGAUAUUCGGAAGAACACCAGUGGCGAAGGCGGCUCACUGGACUGGUAUUGACGCUGAGGUGCGAAAGCGUGGGGAGCAAACAGGAUUAGAUACCCCUGUAGUCCCUGUCUCUUAUAA